UAGGGAAUCUUCCGCAAUGGACGCAAGUCUGACGGAGCAACGCCGCGUGAGUGAAGAAGGAUUUCGGUUCGUAAAACUCUGUUGUUAGAGAAGAACAGCGCAUAGAGUAACUGUUAUGCGUGUGACGGUAUCUAACCAGAAAGCCACGGCUAACUACGUGCCAGCAGCCGCGGUAAUACGUAGGUGGCAAGCGUUGUCCGGAUUUAUUGGGCGUAAAGCGAGCGCAGGCGGUCAAUUAAGUCUGAUGUGAAAGCCCCCGGCUCAACCGGGGAGGGUCAUUGGAAACUGGUUGACUUGAGUGCAGAAGAGGAGAGUGGAAUUCCAUGUGUAGCGGUGAAAUGCGUAGAUAUAUGGAGGAACACCAGUGGCGAAGGCGACUCUCUGGUCUGUAACUGACGCUGAGGCUCGAAAGCAUGGGUAGCAAACAGG
Molecule: ribosomal RNA, 429 nt
Filed under: Bacteroidota bacterium
Lineage: Bacteria; Pseudomonadati; Bacteroidota
Description: Bacteroidetes bacterium partial 16S ribosomal RNA
Rfam family: Bacterial small subunit ribosomal RNA
Source: RNAcentral